RNAcentral lists this ribosomal RNA (253 nucleotides) under uncultured bacterium. RNAcentral's name for it is "partial 16S ribosomal RNA". It matches the Rfam family "Bacterial small subunit ribosomal RNA", at positions 524 to 776 of the family's 1533-position model. The record is from RNAcentral.
UACGUAGGGUGCAAGCGUUGUCCGGAAUUAUUGGGCGUAAAGAGCUCGUAGGCGGUUUGUUGCGUCGGCUGUGAAAUCCCGAGGCUCAACCUCGGGUCUGCAGUCGAUACGAGCAAACUGGAGUGUUGCAGGGGAGACUGGAAUUCCUGGUGUAGCGGUGAAAUGCGCAGAUAUCAGGAGGAACACCGGUGGCGAAGGCGGGUCUCUGGGCCGAUACUGACGCUGAGGAGCGAAAGCUAGGGGAGCGAACAGG